UUUUUUUCUGAUUUGAUUGGGUGAUUCCAGUAGGCUGUCUUCUAGGCCUUAUGUGCUCUUCUGUAUCACUUUACCUGCUGUUACACCUUCUAGUGUAUUUUUUCAUUUCAGGUACUGUUUUAUUAAGCUCUUAUUUUUUAAAUAUAAUUUCUAGUUUUUUCCUUAAGUUUUCACUGUGUUCCUCUAUUCUUUUCCCUAGCUCAGUGGGCAUUUUUAUGAGUACUGAUUUGAAUUCUUUAUCAGGUAAAUUACUUAUCUCCAUUCUCAUUAGGGAUUUUUUUUUUCCUGGAGUUUUAUCUUACUCUCUCGUUUGGAACAUAUUCCUCUGUGUUCUCAUUUAGUUUGACUUUCUCUGUCUCUAUGAAAUUAGGUAAAACAGUUCUACCCAGUCUUGAAGGGAUGCCCUUGUGUGGAAGCAUCCCUGUGAGUCUCUGUGCCCAGUGGUUUUGGUGGGAGAGCUGGAGCUGAUGCACACUGGGCUGCAUCUUCUUCCAGAGUGCACUAGUAGCGGGGAGGGCCGGAGCUUGGAAGGGCUAGAGGCAGAGCCUCAUGCAAACCAGGGAUUCUCCCAGGUUCAAUGGCAGUUUCUGCCUUGGCCAAGGGUGGGGUGGGGCCUGAGGAGCUAGAGCCACAGCUCUGAGUGAUCGCCACUACUCCAUGGCACACAGGGGUACACUGGCAGUCUCUGCCUUAGCUGGGAGUGGAAGGGGGAGGGCCAGGGACUGUAGCCCCAGUUCCAAGUGAGCUUCAUUUCUCUGCAGCAUGAUAGCAACCUCCACCUUGGUGGGGAGUAGUUCUGGAGCAGCAGGGGCUAGAGCAGAAGAUCAGUGCUGGCUUAGGGGCAUGUUGAGGUGGUCUUAGAAGGCCAGCCAGAGCAUUAGACCAUUUGAAUCUUCUUCCUUUGUGCUAGGAAUGGGAGAAAACAAGUCUGUGUGUGUGUUCUCCAAGAAAAAAAAAGUCUCAGUUUCCUAUAGUCCACCAGUGAGCCCCACUGGUUUUCAAACCAGCCAAGGGGAUUCAUCUUCCCAGUUCCAGACCCCAAGGCUGGGAUGCUCAAUGUGGGGCACAAACUCAUCACCUCUCAGGGAGGAUCUCUAAACCUCUGAUAUGUCCCUUCUCUUCUAGGUGACUCUCCAGGGCUGUGGGACCCAACCAGAUUGCUUCUUCUCUCCUCCUAACAAUCUCCAUGUGGUUAUUUCUUUAUAAACUUGGUUAUAGAAGAACCAUUCUUCUAGUCUUCAGGUCAUGCCCAGAGGGAGUUGUUCUAUAAGUAGUUUUGAUGUGUUUGCUGGGUGAGGUGAAUUCAAGGUCUUCCUACUCCACCACACUGAUGCUACCGCUUUUCAAAUUCUCUCGUCCUUGAUUUUGACAGUUUAAUUAUAAUGUGUUUCAGUGAAGUCCUUUUUAGGUUGAAUCUGUCUGGGGAACUUUGAGUUUCAUGUAGCUGUAUACCCAUAUCGCUCCCCAACUUAGAGGUGUUUCAGCCAUUACUGCUUUAAGUAGACCUUCUUCCCCUUUCUCUCCUCCGUCUGGGACUCCCGUGAUGCAUAAAAUGUUUCACAGGAUGAUUUUCCCCUAAGUCCCAUAAUCUUUCUUCACUCCAUUUUCACUUUUUUUCCUUUUUGCUCCUCCACCUGGAUAACUUCAAAUGACUGUGUUCAAUUUCAUUGAUUCUUUCUUUGACUUGAUCAAGUCUGCUGUUGAAGGUCUCCAUUGAAUUGUUCAGGUCACUAUUCUUCAGCUCUAGAAUUUCUGCGGGUUUUUUUUAAUGGUUUCUAUUUCUUUGUUGAAUUCUUACUUUUUUCAUGUUUCUUCCCUAAUUUUGUUUAUUUCCCUGUGUUUUCUUAUAGUUCACUGAUCUUCUUUAAAAGGAGUUUUCUGCAUUUUUUGCUAGUUCAUAGGUAUUGAUUCUCUAGGGUCAGUAACUGGAGCUUUAUUAAUUUCCUUUGGUGGUAUCAUGUUGCUCUAAUUAUUCAUGAACCUUAUGUCCUUGCUUUGGUGUCUGCAUUUGAAGGAGUCGCCUCGUUUAGUCUUUACAAGUUUGCUUAGGCAGGAAAAUUCAAUCAGUUUGGGGUUCAGGACUGCUAAUGAGUAGCAUCUUUGAAGCACCUUUGGAGAGGGCUUAUUACCAGAGUAUCUGUUUGGGUGGGGUCUCUGCUCAUGCUCUGAAGCCAGAUGGUGUCAUUUGCUGGAUUCUAAAGUUGGGCAAGUCUUCUGGCUGGGCUCCAGUCAGAGAGAGGUGCUGGCUGGGCUUCAUAGUCAGAAAACGUCUGGCUGGGCUCUCUAGUUGGGCAGUGCCACUGGCUAGACUCUGCAGUCAGAUGGAUCACAGGCUGGACUCUGCAAUCAGAUGGGGCUGAUGUCUGGGUCUCUGCAAUUGCCUUUGGUCCGAAAAAGCUGUGAGCCGUGCUCCUAGCUGGAUGAUGGCACUGGGUAGACACUGUGAUUGGGCAGGCUUGCAACCUGGGCUCCACAAUCACCCCUGGUUGGGUGAUCCAGAGGCUGUACUCUCUUGCUAGGUAGAACUAGUGGCUGAAUUCUGUAUUUAUGUGGGUCCUCAGGCUGUGCUCCUUUGUCUGGCAGGGUCACAGGAUAAGCUCCAUAGUUUAGCAAGGCUGUUGACUUAGCUCUCUGCUGAGUUGGGACCACACGCUGGCAGAGAGCCUCAUAUAGACGGAAGUACUAGCCAUGCUCCCUGGCCAGAUGGGACCACUGGCUUGACUUCACAGAUGAGAAGAGCCACUGACUGGACUCCUGGCCAGGUGAAGUCACCAGCUUGGAGGUGGUGCCACCACCAAGAUCUGAGCACUGGUCACUGUGAGACCUACCUCCUUUCUUUGGUGUUACCUGAUACAUGGCCCUGCCAAUCCCUCAGUGUUUCUUCUGAGGCAAGAAAGUAGUCCUCCCAGGAUGUGGUCUAGAACACUGGGCAAGCUGGAUGUAUGUCUUAGGCUAUCUUUUCCCCACCGGAGAAACUAGAGGCCCAGGGAAACCCUCUUAGUGUGCCCUAUGCCAGUCUGGCCAAUGGGAAACCAAUCAUUGAAACUGCUCUUCUUAACCUUUUAAUGCAGAUUUUCUUGGUUUUCUCCCUCUAUGACAUAUUUCAGCCUCAUCCCCACAUUCUGGGAUUUUUCACAAGAACAUUCUUGUUUGUGAAUAGUUGCUAACCCUUAUUUUGGUGAGGGGACCUCCUCCUAGUCUGCCUUCCUGCUGUCACUCCCAUGCUUAUCUCCUGCAAACUGUUACUAGAGAGAACUUUGCUUCUUUCAUCGUUUCUCAUCUUUCCCAUAAAACAUAUGUAGAAUCUACACCACUUUUAUAUGUUAUGGUCUAAUAAGUAGCCUCCUUUCAGAAGAGGUAGGCUCCAAACAAUACUCUCUGUAUCAACAUCAACCAAAGGCUAAGAGCU
Molecule: long non-coding RNA, 3409 nt
Filed under: Sus scrofa (pig)
Lineage: Eukaryota; Metazoa; Chordata; Mammalia; Artiodactyla; Suidae
Description: lncRNA (ENSSSCG00000058242.1, ENSSSCG00090005873.1)
Source: RNAcentral